AUUGAACGCUGGCGGCAGGCCUAACACAUGCAAGUCGAGCGGAUGAAGGCAGCUUGCUCCUGGAUUCAGCGGCGGACGGGUGAGUAAUGCCUAGGAAUCUGCCUGGUAGUGGGGGAUAACGUCCGGAAACGGGCGCUAAUACCGCAUACGUCCUGCGGGAGAAAGUGGGGGAUCUUCGGACCUCACGCUAUCAGAUGAGCCUAGGUCGGAUUAGCUAGUUGGUGGGGUAAAGGCCUACCAAGGCGACGAUCCGUAACUGGUCUGAGUGGAUGAUCAGUCACACUGGAAGGGAGACACGGUCCAGGCGCCUACGGGAGGGAGCAGUGGGGAACAUUAGACAAUGGGCGAAAGCCUGAUCCAGCGAUGCCGCGUGUGAGAAGAAGGUCUUCGGAUUGGAAAGCACUCUAAGUGGGGAGGAAGGGCAGUAACUUAAUACCUUGCUGUUUUGACGGUAACAACAGAAUAAGCACCGGCUAACUUCGUG
RNAcentral lists this ribosomal RNA (484 nucleotides) under uncultured bacterium. Its description in RNAcentral is "partial 16S ribosomal RNA". It matches the Rfam family "Bacterial small subunit ribosomal RNA", at positions 30 to 507 of the family's 1533-position model. The record is from RNAcentral.